Long non-coding RNA from Papaver somniferum (opium poppy), 906 nucleotides. RefSeq lists it as uncharacterized. Lineage: Eukaryota; Viridiplantae; Streptophyta; Magnoliopsida; Ranunculales; Papaveraceae. The transcript has 2 exons. The record is from RefSeq and is a predicted model, not a curated record.
CUAAGAACAAAAUCAAUUCUUAUAUGAUAUGAAGAAGAAAGAAUUGAGCACACGAUUCCCAUUCUCUCUGCUUUCUCCGUAUCUCACUUCCCCCCUUAAACUAAGGCGCAUCUCUUGGGUUAUUCUGGUUUCAAAGAAAAGAAUAUAAAAUCAAGAACAAGGAGAUAUAUCCAAGAACUAAACGAUGAAGAUGAAGUGAGGAAGAGAAAUCCAACAGGGGAUGGAUGCUUUUGUCUUUUGAGGGGAAUGUUGUUUGGCUCGAGGCCACCAACUCAUCAUCUUCUUUCAUGAUUGAUUUACUUGAAAUCAUCAGAUCCAGAAUCAAUAGUGACAUUGAUGAUUACUAACGAUCGAUUUACUAUCAGUCGAUCUUUGUUUUUAUUAUGUUGGUGCCGUCGGACCAGGCUUCAUUCCCCCCAAUUACAGGUAUCCUAAUCGACAUCUCUCUCACUCUCACUGAUCCAUCAUCUUGAUGCAGAUCUCAGAUAGCGCUCGGAUGGUGGUGCUGUCGAUUGAUAAAAUAUUUACAAAACAAUGUCACGAAUUACAUCAGGUUCAAUUGAAUUAACACACUCUCAAGUUGGAUUGAUAGACAAUUCGGUGGAAGAAACAAAGUUAUCGGGAAGCUUCCAUCAUGCGCAAUUGACAGGACUUGUAUAUGCAAAGAGAGGACUUGGCAUAUGUUUGGCGCUGGAAUCUGAUUCUGUAGGUGUGAAGGGACCAAAGCUUUCAACUUACUGUAUAGGCCACAUGAUGAACUGUUGUUUCUAUGAAAACAGUCCAAGUUUCAUCAAAGAAAAAAUGUUUGUGUUCUAGAAACGGUAUAGGUAUUUUACUUGAUCUGAGCUUAGCUGAGUGUCCCCAUCGUAAUUAAAUGCUGAAAUUAAAUGUUUGAUUUAAACGGUA